GAGAUAAUGUUGCACAUCGUUGCAAAUAUUGAGGUUCCCUUAAGUGUAAGAUCAUUCACAAGGUGAACUUAGGCUUCCUUCAUUAACAAGUGCUCACUUAGACUCUGUUAAAUGUGAGACCUUCCUCAACAAUUCUUUCUAUAAUGGUGUGAAGUCCCCUUCACUCAGCAAACUUAAGCUCCCCUAAGUUGAAAAAUCCUUUCUUGUGCAAUGCAAUUACUUUAGGUCCACACACGAAGAGUUAAUAUACCAAAAACAUUACUUGCAAUAUAACUAACCUUCUUCUCUCAAAUGGUCUUCACACAAAACUAACUUUCAAUAAUAAUAAUAAUAAAUGAUAGUCAAAGUUGGCUACUCUAGCAAUCACACACUACGCCCUCUAAAAAUGGUAAUGGUAGAAAAGAAAAAACUCCCACACAAACAUGACUCAAGCCAUAAAAAAGGAAAGAAAAUCUCACU
This 459-nucleotide unclassified non-coding RNA is filed under the name Hevea brasiliensis (rubber tree). The record is from RNAcentral. Lineage: Eukaryota; Viridiplantae; Streptophyta; Magnoliopsida; Malpighiales; Euphorbiaceae.